UGCACAAUUGGUGGUUGAAUAAGUACUUAUUUGCCCCACUGUAUGCUACUGCAAGUAUUUUCCACAACACAACAAAAGUAAACAGUUCAACUUUAUAAAGUGCGUUUAACACUGCAGCGUAAAAUAAAUCAAACUCUCACAACCUGAGACAACUGGUUAAGUAGAAAUAGGCUAUUGCACUUCAAAUAUUUUGUUCACAACAAAAGUCAACAGUAAAACGAUAUAAAGUGACUAUUAUGGUGUUAAAUCAAGUUUUGUAAUCCGAAAAAAAGAAACGAAAAAGUUUUAUUGUUGAAUCUUUCAAAACCGAAAACGUCGUUUUGAUUUUUUUCAGUUACAAAGUUGAUAUUUUCAGGUUCAAAGAUUUUUUUUUUCACUUUCAGAUCUUUUUUCCAGUUUCAAUUUUUUUUUUCACUUUCAUAUCUUAUUUUUUCAGUUUCAAUUUUUUUUUCUUCACAUUCAAAUCUUUUUUUCACUUUCGAAUCUUUUUUUCGCCUUCAGAUCUUUUUUUUUCAGAUUCAAAACUUUUGGCCGUGUUUUAACGUGGGGGGGCGCGGCCUCGACGAGAGGCUUGUUGACGUGUGAGACAGCCUAUCAAAGCAACCCCGAAUGAUGCUGCCUUCAGGAAACGUGGGUACUUUGAUGAAUUAUCACUCCACACUAUCGCCACUUUAUUUUCCGGAUGCAUGUCGCACAUCUCGCGUAGCCGCCAUAUGUAAAAAAAAAAAAACUACCCCACAUUAAUACAGUUAUUGCUGUUAAUACUGUACUGUUUUUUUUUUUUUUUUUUUUUUUUCAAACAAGUCGCAAAAACGGGGCCAGGAAAUUCUCUGUGGAGCGACUAGGACGUAAAAGCUAUGUAUAGACCUCACUCACAUGACGUCACAACCAUGCCGCCGCGCCAUAUUGUCCGUCAGCUCGUGUUUACGCAUUACCACUACGAAAAUUCCUCCUAUUAUGGCGUGUUUUUGCUCGUUAACAUUAAUAAUCAAAAUGGUGAAGGCAUUGUGUGACGUUGGUGAGUGGGGUCUAUUCAACUGAGAUAAGCUCACUCGAAAAGGCUGGGAUUUAUCGCAGCAGAAAACAAUGUAAGGAGAAGAUGAAGAAAUUCAAAAACAGACCAGAGCGGGGCGAACAGGAAAACGAGCAAAUGGUAUGACACGCAAUACCACAUAUUAAUUCAACUCUGGCAACGCCGCAGCAAAGGAGCUUUUGCGGUCAUUGGGUGAUACAUUUGAAAAACCCACCCUCCCAGGCUAGCUGCUUGAAGGUUGGUAUGGAAUAGGACGUAACUUAAGGGUGUAGCAGUUCGGUUUUGCAUGUUCGGUUCGGUUCACUUGCGUACACUUUUGGUUUUGUUUUAUUUUUCCCUAGUAAAAUGUAUUAUAAACGUUGCGUGGGGAACCGUAAUACUGAAGGUGUUUCUCUACGGACGCAUUAAGUGUCGGACAUGACUACUCUAAUUAAACUUACUAAUGGAGAAAGGUAAUCCAUAGUUAUGUCGACAUUGCUGUACAGAUAUGUCGACCUAGAUAAGACUGCACACUCAGAAAAUGAAUGCUGAAUCUACAUGUAAGAAAAUCAGCUACAUUUUGUUACAGCAAAAUUUAAACUUGAAUAAUUACAUUUAUCAUUUUCAGGUUGUUGCUGCUAAGGAUUAAACGCUUACAUUUGUGCUUGUUCAUAAUUUUUUAAUCUACUGGCUGUUACACCCUUAAGACGUAUUAUUGGUAGAUGUGAUAUUAAGAGAUGUGCUGAAAUGUCUUAAUCCUUUUAAUGUUACCUACUUGGUAAGCCAUACUGCCUGAAUGCUUUCGGAAAUGUUGGCUUUUUUAUCUUGAAAUUGCAUUAGCCAAAUGUAAAUAGAUGACGUGCGGUAUUUGUUUUGUUUAUCUGAAUUAAGGUUUAAUUCAAAAUAUUUCUCUUACCACCACAAACACCAAUGGCUUUGUCAAGCAAUUCCCUGGCCCCAAUGAGUGACAACCGCGAACCCGCAUCAGCAACUACCCACCAGUUUCCUGCUUGUCCGGAUUUACAAAUGAUCAGCCAACACCGCCCAGUUGCCAGCACCCUCGGCCAUCCCAGACCUGCAAAGAGAGGAAAGACAGACACACUGCUUGCUGCUGUAAAGGCAGAGCGAUGCGCGCUUUAACAGAAUGAUUCAGCUAUUCGAAGACCAAAUUCAAUAGGAAGAAGAAGAGUUUCAGGCUCAACGGUCAGAGUUAGCAGAGGCCAUCCGGCAGUAGAGUUUCAUGGAGGGUCUUUUGGACCCCAUGAACAGAAUAGCAAAUCUGCAAGAAAAACCUUAUUUAAAAAAAAAUAAAUAAGGGAGAGUAAACUAAAUUUUGCACAUGUACACCUAUUCUAAAGUGUUUGAGGGACCUUUAAUUUAAAGAAAUUACUUUGAAUAACACAAGGUGGUGCUUUGUCUGAUUACUAGUACACCGAAGCAAUCCUUAACAUGUGGCAGGCAAUACAGUGUGUGAGUAGUUAACACAUGAGACCACACUCUAAAAGUUGGCCUUUUUUUUUUUUUUUUUUCCCCAGCCAGCUACAGAUGGAAAACAGGUUUAUAAUAAUGCACACAAAACAAAGGGGCAAUUUAUAAGACUUUUAUUUUUGCUUUAAAAAAUUAAAAGCGAUUACGUCAAAGCCAAGGUACAAUGUACCGAAAAAGUUUAGUUGGGAAAGAAAAAGUGGCGCAUCAAGGCUGAACGCACAGCUACACCUUCAGCAUCUGCAGCAGGAGGUAGAAUUUGAGUGUCUGGCUGCAGUAACAGGUUAUGCCUUCUCUCGCUCCACAUCUCAUUGUGGCUCUUACAGAGGUUGUGAAGCACACAGCACAUGAGCACCAUGGAGUUUAUCCUCAUGGCUGCAGUCAUUGCACUUUUGGAGCCACCUUACUUUAAAUCUGCCAAAAGCAUGUAUAACCAAUUCUCCACAAACUGCUCAUCUGUGAAACUGGGAAGAAACUGUCUCCACCAGUCAUCGGCUUUUUUUGGACCCAAACGGAUGGAGAGGAUCGUUGUGCAGUGAGUCGCAGUAAAAUCUGAAAUGCAAACAGAAACCCGUUAGUUUUUGGAGUAUUCUACGUAACACAAGCCAAAAACUUUUCUUCCAAAAGUUUGUUCAUAUGAAAGUACAUGAAUGUGUAUACAGUAACAGUAGGGGUUUCACGGUACACUCAAAAUUUUUGUUCGGUUUUGGAUGUGCUCGAUUCAGGUAAGUUUCCGUACAAUAAAGAUAGGAAAAAAUAUACUUAAUGCUUUUAUUUUUAAAAAUGUAAACAAUAUAAUUUGUGAAAAUAAAAGAGACACUUUUGGAUGAUAUUUCAGAUAUAUUUCACUCCGAAUAAAUCAAAACAAAAAACUAACAAUUAUAAAAAUGAUUUAUACACAGGUAUAAUUUAACAAGACAGCUAAAUAGUGUUCAAAUCCUUAUUCCUGAGUGUCCGACAAUUAAAGCAUCCCUGCGGGGACUGCGCGCAUCGCUUAGAAUGCGCUAGUAAUUUCAUGAGGGGUUAAAAUUCAUUAAAGGAAACCGAAAGUGAAGCAAAUCAAACAUACAACACCAAAACAGUUCAACACACCCACGUAAACCGUUACAUCAUUCUUAAACCUGUUAAAUAUACAUACACUUACCUGUUGCCUCUUUUGUCUUUUACUGUCUGAUUGCCUUUUAUCCUUCAUGAAACGAAGAAAUAUCGCUCGCCUUAGGAUCUGUCGUCUUCUAACGAAGUCUGUGUGCGUUUCAGUCUCUUUGCGUCGCUGCUGGGUGUGGCGAGUAAGUAGUGCGUCACUGGCGCGUUACUGGCGCAGAAUUAAACGUCACAUUGGGCGUAGUACCCAUGUGCGAUCACGACUGCCUCGCGAGUGUGGCGUCCCGAUUCAUCAAAGUACCCACGUUUCCUGAAGGCAGCAUCAUUCGGGGUGCU
Corythoichthys intestinalis (scribbled pipefish) is the source of this 3934-nucleotide long non-coding RNA. RefSeq lists it as uncharacterized. The record is from RefSeq and is a predicted model, not a curated record. The transcript has 3 exons. NCBI's taxonomy places the organism in Eukaryota, Metazoa, Chordata, Actinopteri, Syngnathiformes, Syngnathidae.